UACGUAGGGUGCGAGCGUUGUCCGGAAUUAUUGGGCGUAAAGAGCUCGUAGGCGGUGUGUCACGUCGUUCGUGAAAACCUGCAGCUUAACUGUGGGCGUGCGGUCGAUACGGGCAUCACUGGAGUUCGGCAGGGGAGACUGGAAUUCCUGGUGUAGCGGUGGAAUGCGCAGAUAUCAGGAGGAACACCGGUGGCGAAGGCGGGUCUCUGGGCAGUAACUGACGCUGAGGAGCGAAAGCAUGGGGAGCGAACAGG
This 254-nucleotide ribosomal RNA is filed under the name uncultured bacterium. RNAcentral's name for it is "partial 16S ribosomal RNA". It matches the Rfam family "Bacterial small subunit ribosomal RNA", at positions 524 to 776 of the family's 1533-position model. The record is from RNAcentral.